Molecule: long non-coding RNA, 201 nt
Filed under: Homo sapiens (human)
Lineage: Eukaryota; Metazoa; Chordata; Mammalia; Primates; Hominidae
Description: HSALNT0075572
Source: RNAcentral
CCUCCCUGUAUGAGAAGUGCCUUUUCUUUCCUAGCCAUCCUGCUAACUUCUAAACCCUUAGGCCUGGUUUGAGCAUCACCAUUUCUCUCACUUGCCUUUCUGUUUUCUCCCUCCCCUUUCCAUAAAGAGUUAUGUGCCCCCAUUCUGUGUUCUCCUGAAUUCCUGUGGGUCCUAGAAAAGAAACAUCUUGAGGGCAAGGAG